This is a long non-coding RNA of Poecilia latipinna (sailfin molly), 308 nucleotides long. RefSeq lists it as uncharacterized. The transcript has 4 exons. The record is from RefSeq and is a predicted model, not a curated record. Lineage: Eukaryota; Metazoa; Chordata; Actinopteri; Cyprinodontiformes; Poeciliidae.
CCAGGGGGAAGUAAAGCGGAAGUUACGUUGCUGCCAGUAGUCAAACUGUGCAGCCUCAGUUAUAAUCGGUCAGUAACUGUUGGUGAAGAGUGGGGAACGGUUCACUUUUCGAUGGAGGUAAUGCAGAAAUGAUUUAAAUGAAGAUGGACUCUGCUAGGGUUUGAAUCACUUGGAAAGACGAGUAAUUGAAGAGAUGCUUAUUCCUGCAGACUUCCUCACCGAAUUGCGGCACAUUUCUUCCAGUUUUACUUGAUGUGCGUGUAAUUGGUCAAUAAAUAAAACUUGGAUUUGAAAUUUUGUGUGAUUAU